This 433-nucleotide long non-coding RNA is filed under the name Eucalyptus grandis. Its description in RNAcentral is "long non-coding RNA (EGRA_LNC003288)". Lineage: Eukaryota; Viridiplantae; Streptophyta; Magnoliopsida; Myrtales; Myrtaceae. The record is from RNAcentral.
UAAUCGACUAGGUCGAUUUGAUCGAUGCUUCGAUCAGUGAUAUGAUUGCUUGGGUGCCUAUUAUGAAUUGUACUGACUUGCAGGUGAGAUUUGAGGCCAAGGUAAGUCCCCUGACCUGUGCAUGUUUAGGCAGCCUAUAGUAUAAUGGUUUACUAAUCGGGCCUUAGUGGGGGUAGAACUCGCUGAGACGUAGUCUCAUCCCGGUUUGGGGAAAAUCAUUUCAGGACCCCGCUGAAGAGCUGAGGAGAAGGAGUCUGAGAAGGAUUUUUGGAAGAAGAAGAUAAUUCCGAGAGGGAUCUUGAGUACGAUCCAGAUGGGCUGAGAUUCUAUCUUCUUUUGAGAUCUCCAUUUUGAUGUGAAUAGAGAUAGAGUAAAAAGUUGUGAAGUACUUUGGUUUGCGUUUUGUAUAAAAGUUUGGUUAUUAGUUUCAAUA